This is a long non-coding RNA of Ctenopharyngodon idella (grass carp), 2206 nucleotides long. RefSeq lists it as uncharacterized. The transcript has 3 exons. NCBI's taxonomy places the organism in Eukaryota, Metazoa, Chordata, Actinopteri, Cypriniformes, Xenocyprididae. The record is from RefSeq and is a predicted model, not a curated record.
AUUGAAAACUAAAAACACGGUUCCUUGUAAUAAAAUAGCAUUUGUUGAACUACUGUAGAGUAAACCGCUGAAUGUGUAAAGAUGCUAGACACUAUAGUUGUGAUUUUACAGUAAAAACACGAUUUAUUAUGAUAACAGGGGAGCUCUAGUAAACACACAUAACUUAAUUCUCCGAAGUGGAUUUACAUAUUCUAAACCACAUCUUAAAGGUGCUUAUUAAAUGUUCAUUUAACAUCUGACAGGAACAUCUUCAUUAAGUACUAUGGCUUAUGAGUGAUGGAUUAUGUAUGAGUGAUGUAUGUGAAUUCACUGUUGUCAACACUGCUUACAUUACAUGAAUGAAAAUAACGUAAAUAAAUAAAUCUACAUAAAAUAAACAUAAGUUUAAUCUGUUUUAUUUGUCCAUUAGUACUGUUGGUAAAUUAAGGAACAUUUGUAUUGGAUAAAAAGAGAGUUAACACAUCAUCAACAUGUAAAUGUAGAUUUAAGCACAUAAAUCUCAGAGGAAACUUGAAUCUUGUCUGGAUGUUACAGGGACAGAUGAUCACACGUGUGUUUAUCCGGUGAUAAAGGAAUGCUGCCAUCAAAGGCUUUGAGUGAGGAUACUACAGAAAUGAAUAAGUCUAUUUAAAUCUAAAGUCUAGUUUAUUUUAAUUAUUGUAAUUUAAACAGAGUUAUUACAGCACUUUUCUGAAUCUUGAUUUCUGUGCAUUUGCUGCAGAGCUCUGUGGUGAAGCAGGACCUACAAGACAAGGUGACUGCAGCAAAAAAGAAAAACCUGAAACAAAAAUAUAAAGAUGUGAAAUGUCCUCAGACUGGUGUGAGCACUGAGGAUGGAGAGCCACAGCAGGUCCUGGAAAUGGUGUAGAGCCAUGGACGAGACGCUCCAUCACUCCUCAAGUCAAGUCAAGUCACCUUUAUUUAUAUUGUGCUUUUUACAAUGCAGAUUGUGUCAAAGCAGCUUUACAGUGAUAAAUGGUAUGUAAUUUUGUCAAUGUAGGCAGAUGCAAAGCACUGUUGAAUAUCAAAUGUCAAGUGACUUGAUCAAGAACACACUGGAGGUGAUGCUGCAGAGAUUGAACCAGCAACCUUCUGCUGACCAGCUCAGUGGUUUAGCCCACCACACCACAAAAGUAAUGAAGUCAUGCUGAUGGAGAGCACAUGAAUGUUUGCAGCAGACACAGCAGCAGCCAGAUUGUCCUGCACAUCUUCUCCCACUCUUGGUUCAAGGUUGGGAGAAGGUUGUCAUCCUCUGGAUCAACGAUGUCCCCACUGAGAAGAGCAGCACUGAGGGACAUGAUGGAUGAAGGUGUUCAUCAGCUGCUUCAUCAGAAUAAAGAUGCAGAAUUGGCACAGCUGUGUUGAGAUGGCAGUAGGAUUGUAAAUACAUGAUUGUUAGAUCAAUAAAUUUGAAUAAAGCUUUGUUUCAUGUGUUGUUGACUUGUAUAUGCAUUUAUUUAUUGUCAUUAUUACUUUUAUUAAUUCUUUUACUUUUUUUAUUAAUUAUGCUAUUAUUAUCAGUAAAUUUAUAUAUUUUAUUAAGCAAUGAAUUAUUGCAUGAAUUGACUGUAAAUUGAGAUGUAUUCACAUCAGCUGUAUUUGUCUAAUGUGUAUUCAUGCAUAGCUAUGUCAUAUGACAAAACAUUACGUUUUGCUUGUUUUACUAUAGAAGUAAAAUGAAAAGUAAUAUAAUGAAGUAUUGGUCAGCAUUUAUCAAUAUCAUUGUGUGUAAGUGUUGGGGUGGGCUAGCAAAGCAGUGAAUUCUGGGGUAAUCUUAAUUUUAAGUAGUUAUACUUACAUUUUUUUGAGUAUAAAAUCAGUCUUCUCCAAAGGCGAGAUCUUCGAGCAGCUGCUGAUAUCUUCUUUGGCUUCAGACAUUGAUAACACUGAAGAAAACCGAACUAGGUAACAAUAAACAAUAAUAAUGACAAAAAACAAACGUGUUUGUAAACAUCAUAGUUUGAGAUUAUAUACACGGACAUAAAGCAUGAUGAUAAGGUUAAAUAUUUUGAAUACAUCAUAAUGCAUAAAAGUAUUUAUUAUUUAUAAGCCUGAGGGAUGAAACUAGAGCUAAUUCAAGAAAAAAAAAGAAAACAAAUGAAAUGUAUGCCACUUUUGCUUGUGGGUGAACAUUUUUGCAUAUAAAAUAAAGAAAUUAACAACAUAUUCAACAAAAAAUAAACUCACAUUAUAAAAAUAUAAGAAC